GCCGGUGUGGCUCAGUGGGUAGAGCGUUGGACUGCGGACCAAAGGUCCCAGGUUUGAUUCCCGGUCAGGGGCA
Molecule: transfer RNA, 73 nt
Filed under: Myotis brandtii (Brandt's bat)
Lineage: Eukaryota; Metazoa; Chordata; Mammalia; Chiroptera; Vespertilionidae
Rfam family: tRNA
About the family: Transfer RNA (tRNA) molecules are approximately 80 nucleotides in length.
Source: Rfam by way of RNAcentral